ACACAAAUUGUGCAGGCGUUUUAGCGUGAGGAUUAGGGCAGAAUGGGUACCUCGGGAAGAGAACGAGCUGGCUGAUUAUUAUUCGAAGGUUGUUGACCAAGACGAUUGGCAAUUGAACCCUGCAUUAUUCCGGGAAAUGGAAGGGAGAUGGGGCCCCUACAGCCUAGAUUGUUUUGCCAGUUUUAAGACUAAGCAGCUCAGUAAGUACUGCUCCCGGUGGUGGAACCCAGAGUGCUUUGCGAUUGAUGCGUUCACAGUGGAUUGGUCCAUUGAAAGGGUGUGAAUGGUUCCCCCAAUCUACCUUAUUUCACGUACAAUCGAUAUGCUGCUAGCAUGCAGAACCCAUGGCACUCUCGUUGUACCAGAGUGGCGGUCAGCCCCAUGGUGGCCAAAAUUGCAUGACGGUGCUGCGUGGUACGGAUUUGUGAAAGAGUGCGUGUGGUUGCCAAAGGAUGAGAAUACAUUCUUGCAGGGGUCAUGCCCAUGGAAUUUGUUUGGUUACGGCAUGCCGAAGUCCGAGAUCAUUGCUUUGAAAUUGUGCGCAGUUAGUGGCUGUGAUUGCUGACAGCAUACCUGGCGCGUGUUUGUAUGCGGGAGAGCCUGAGUAUGUCUGACGGUGCAUGAAAUGAGAGCUUGCGGAAGUUUGCCUCCAUGCUACAGGUGCGGUAGGGCAAGUGCUAUAGGCACACAUACAGCUAUAAGCUCCCCGGUUAACACGUACAGAUGUAUCAACUCGAAGUUGCACCCAGAGCACUAGCUUCGCAAAGAGGCAUACAUGGACACUACAGGUGUUAACCCGAGCAGCAGGCAUGAUAAGGGUGAAAGCUACAGGCUUACAAUUAUGACCCAAGGUGCUGCGGCAGAGCCAGCCGAGCGCGGACGCUACAAGCAAUCGAGCUAAGGGGGAGGAGGCAGUCAGUGGCGCAGAAGUAAUCAUGCUGUUCUCCGACUGUGUGCUACAGGCAAGUAAAGUCAACAGCCAGAACGCAUGUCUCGCUGCUUGGCAGUCUAUAUGCCGCCAGCUAUGCUUUGUGCUUCUUGGAGCAGCUGUUGCUGCGACCCUGCAGUUCUGUUGUUGUUGUGGUGUGUACGAGAGAGUCGAAAAGAAAUGCCUCAUUUCUUGUUGGAUGAGAGCAACGAAGUAAACAAGAAAUGCUGUUCUUUUCGAAACGCGAGUGCACAGUCCAGAGUUCACGGACUGUGCUGGGAGUGCGGUACGCACUGGCUGCACAGUGCGGAGUUGCAGCAUGCACAUGAAGGUGCAUGCUGGUCUGAAGACAGUGUUCUUUUUGUUCUUGCACUGCUGCUGUACAGUUGCGAAUCCCACCCACCCACCCAAUUGGAUAGUCAUUGCUAGAUAUGUAUGUGCAUAUGGAUUUAUUGGCUGAGUAAGCAGUAGUGCGUGUAUGUGGCGAGCAUGUUUCCGUGUGUGGGCCAAUUUCAGAUAAUUCUGUAUUAAGGUAGCACAUUGGCUUUAUUUAGACUGGCCCAUUUGGGGUUAUUCAGCAUCUCCACCAUUGUCGCUGGCGGCAAUUCCCAUUAAUCAGUGCACUAGGCCGUGGUGAACGCAUUUCGAUCGGAGGUUCAUGUAUCCAUUGUCCCAUGGCUUGGAUCGUGUACUGUCUUGCGUUGUUUUCCUUUUGUUAUGCUAAAGUGAUGUGUACCAGGCUGCCAUGAUUAUGUUUAAAUGCUGUGUGCCUGUGGCAUAGUAAUAUUAAUACACAUGCGGUGCAAGAAUUGGAGCAGCUGUUGCUGCGACCCUGCA
Long non-coding RNA from Sycon ciliatum, 1765 nucleotides. RefSeq lists it as uncharacterized. NCBI's taxonomy places the organism in Eukaryota, Metazoa, Porifera, Calcarea, Leucosolenida, Sycettidae. The record is from RefSeq and is a predicted model, not a curated record. The transcript is spliced from 2 exons.